AAGACCAAAGAGGGGGACCUUCGGGCCUCUUGCCAUCAGAUGUGCCCAGAUGGGAUUAGCUAGUUGGUGAGGUAACGGCUCACCAAGGCGACGAUCCCUAGCUGGUCUGAGAGGAUGACCAGCCACACUGGAACUGAGACACGGUCCAGACUCCUACGGGAGGCAGCAGUGGGGAAUAUUGCACAAUGGGCGCAAGCCUGAUGCAGCCAUGCCGCGUGUAUGAAGAAGGCCUUCGGGUUGUAAAGUACUUUCAGCGGGGAGG
This 262-nucleotide ribosomal RNA is filed under the name Salmonella enterica. RNAcentral's name for it is "partial 16S ribosomal RNA". It matches the Rfam family "Bacterial small subunit ribosomal RNA", at positions 197 to 447 of the family's 1533-position model. RNAcentral also lists the same sequence under 5 other names. Lineage: Bacteria; Pseudomonadati; Pseudomonadota; Gammaproteobacteria; Enterobacterales; Enterobacteriaceae. The record is from RNAcentral.